CGGAGAUCUCCAAGGAAAAGGUUGGAAGCCAGCACCUCAAACUCCACUGAGGACACAUUUCACAGUACAUCACAACAGAGUGACUCUACCUAUGAAGAACAUGAUAUGGGCGACCAUGGAGAGGAACUGAGAACUCUGCAGG
Sinocyclocheilus grahami is the source of this 142-nucleotide long non-coding RNA. RefSeq lists it as uncharacterized. NCBI's taxonomy places the organism in Eukaryota, Metazoa, Chordata, Actinopteri, Cypriniformes, Cyprinidae. The record is from RefSeq and is a predicted model, not a curated record. The transcript is spliced from 3 exons.